UCCGGCUUAUCACCGGCAGUUUCUCUAGAGUGCCCAACUAAAUGGUAGCAACUAGAGACGAGGGUUGCGCUCGUUGCGGGACUUAACCCAACAUCUCACGACACGAGCUGACGACAGCCAUGCAGCACCUGUGUGUAGGUCCCUUACGGGAAGGAAUCCAUCUCUGGAAACCGUCCUACCAUGUCAAACGCUGGUAAGGUUCUUCGCGUUGCAUCGAAUUAAGCCACAUGCUCCGCCGCUUGUGCGGGUCCCCGUCAAUUCCUUUGAGUUUUAGCCUUGCGGCCGUACUCCCCAGGCGGGGCGCUCAAUGCGUUAGCUACGGCACAGGGAACCGGGAAGGCCCCCCACACCUAGCGCCCAACGUUUACAGCAUGGACUAC
This 380-nucleotide unclassified non-coding RNA is filed under the name uncultured bacterium. RNAcentral describes it as "contains 16S-23S intergenic spacer region". The record is from RNAcentral.